UACGUGGGGAGCAAGCGUUGUUCGGAUUUACUGGGCGUAAAGGGCGCGUAGGCGGCCACCGCAAGUCGACUGUGAAAUCUCCGGGCUUAACCCGGAAAGGUCAGCCGAUACUGCGGGGCUAGAGUGCAGAAGGGGCAACUGGAAUUCUCGGUGUAGCGGUGAAAUGCGUAGAUAUCGAGAGGAACACCUGCGGCGAAGGCGGGUUGCUGGGCCUACACUGACGCUGAGGCGCGAAAGCUAGGGGAGCGAACGGG
RNAcentral lists this ribosomal RNA (254 nucleotides) under uncultured bacterium. RNAcentral describes it as "partial 16S ribosomal RNA". It matches the Rfam family "Bacterial small subunit ribosomal RNA", at positions 524 to 776 of the family's 1533-position model. The record is from RNAcentral.